Molecule: ribosomal RNA, 812 nt
Filed under: Gaeumannomyces amomi
Lineage: Eukaryota; Fungi; Ascomycota; Sordariomycetes; Magnaporthales; Magnaporthaceae
Description: partial large subunit ribosomal RNA
Rfam family: Eukaryotic large subunit ribosomal RNA
Source: RNAcentral
GGGAUUGCCCUAGUAACGGCGAGUGAAGCGGCAACAGCUCAAAUUUGAAAUCUGGCCCUAGGCCCGAGUUGUAAUUUGCAGAGGAUGCUUUUGGCAAAGCGCUUACCGAGUCCCCUGGAACGGGGCGCCACAGAGGGUGAGAGCCCCGUAUGGUAUGACGCCGAGCCUCUGUAAAGCUCCUUCGACGAGUCGAGUAGUUUGGGAAUGCUGCUCUAAAUGGGAGGUAAAUUUCUUCUAAAGCUAAAUACCGGCCAGAGACCGAUAGCGCACAAGUAGAGUGAUCGAAAGAUGAAAAGCACUUUGAAAAGAGGGUUAAAUAGCACGUGAAAUUGUUGAAAGGGAAGCGCUCGUGACCAGACUUGCGCCGGGCGGAUCAUCCAGCGUUCUCGCUGGUGCACUCCGCCCGGCUCAGGCCAGCAUCGGUUUUCGCCGGGGGACAAAAGCUUCGGGAACGUGGCUCCCUUCGGGGAGUGUUAUAGCCCGUUGCUUAAUACCCCGGCGGGGACCGAGGACCGCGCUUCGGCAAGGAUGCUGGCGUAAUGGUCAUCAGCGACCCGUCUUGAAACACGGACCGAGGAGUCAAGCAUUAGUGCGAGUGUUUGGGUGUAAAACCCGCACGCGUAAUGAAAGUGAACGUAGGUGAGAGCUUCGGCGCAUCAUCGACCGAUCCUGAUGUUUUCGGAUGGAUUUGAGUAGGAGCAUUAACGCUUGGACCCGAAAGAUGGUGAACUAUACUUGAAUAGGGUGAAGCCAGAGGAAACUCUGGUGGAGGCUCGCAGCGGUUCUGACGUGCAAAUCGAUCGUCAAAUUUG